This 775-nucleotide ribosomal RNA is filed under the name uncultured Neocallimastigales. Its description in RNAcentral is "partial large subunit ribosomal RNA". It matches the Rfam family "Eukaryotic large subunit ribosomal RNA", at positions 26 to 644 of the family's 3401-position model. The record is from RNAcentral. Lineage: Eukaryota; Fungi; Neocallimastigomycota; Neocallimastigomycetes; Neocallimastigales.
CGCAUCUGUGCAUGCAGCAUAUCAAUAAGCGGAGGAAAAGAAACUAACAAGGAUUCCCUUAGUAACGGCGAGUGAAGCGGGAAGAGCUCAAAUUUGAAAUCUUCAAGGUUUUACCUUGACGAAUUGUAGUUUAAAGAAGUGUUUUCUGUUGAAGUUUUGGUAAAAGUUCUUUGGAAUAGGACAUCAUAGAGGGUGAGAAUCCCGUAUUUGACCAUUAUUUUCAGCUGUGUGAUACACUUUCAAAGAGUCGGAUUGUUUGGGAAUGCAGUCCAAAAUGGGUGGUAAAUUUCAUCUAAAGCUAAAUAUUGGCGAGAGACCGAUAGCGAACAAGUACCGUGAGGGAAAGAUGAGAAGAACUUUGAAAAGAGAGUUAAACAGUACGUGAAAUUGUCAAAAGGGAAGCGUUUGACACCAGUGUUGUUUUCUCGAAAAUCAAUUAAAAAGAGUUAGAUUUUGUUGUGUAUUGACCUUAACAGCUUGCAUUUCAAUUUUCUUGCUUUUUUUAAUGCACUUUUCGUUUAACAAGUCAACAUCAGUUUCUUUUGUUGUAAAAAGGUCAUUGGAAGGUGGCUUUCCUUUUCGGAGAAAGUGUUUAUAGCCUUUGACUCCUGCAAUCGGAGAGACUGAGGUCUGCAGCGUAGAUCCUUCGGGGUUAGAUACAUUUGUGCUAAGUUAUAGCUUUUUAUAGACAACUUGUUGACUAUGAUUAGUCUUGUAGCUUACUCGCUUAUGCUAUUUUACCUACGCUUAGGAUGUUGACACACGCGCGUGCUCG